This 468-nucleotide ribosomal RNA is filed under the name uncultured bacterium. RNAcentral describes it as "partial 16S ribosomal RNA". It matches the Rfam family "Bacterial small subunit ribosomal RNA", at positions 28 to 507 of the family's 1533-position model. The record is from RNAcentral.
GACGAACGCUGGCGGCGUGCUUAACACAUGCAAGUCGAACGGAAAGGCCCUGCUUUUGUGGGGUGCUCGAGUGGCGAACGGGUGAGUAACACGUGAGUAACCUGCCCUUGACUUUGGGAUAACUUCAGGAAACUGUGGCUAAUACCGGAUAGGAGCUCCUGCUGCAUGGUGGGGGUUGGAAAGUUUCGGCGGUUGGGGAUGGACUCGCGGCUUAUCAGCUUGUUGGUGAGGUAGUGGUUUACCAAGGCUUUGACGGGUAGCCGGCCUGAGAGGGUGACCGGCCACAGUGGGACUGAGAUACGGCCCAGACUCCUACGGGAGGCAGCAGUGGGGAAUAUUGCACAAUGGGCGGAAGCCGGAUGCAGCAACGCCGCGUGCGGGAUGACGGCCGUCGGGUUGUAAACCGCGUGCGCCUGGGACGAAGCGUGAGUGACGGUAAUGGGUAAAGAAGCACCGGCUAACUACGUG